Long non-coding RNA from Ictalurus punctatus (channel catfish), 914 nucleotides. RefSeq lists it as uncharacterized. The transcript is spliced from 3 exons. Lineage: Eukaryota; Metazoa; Chordata; Actinopteri; Siluriformes; Ictaluridae. The record is from RefSeq and is a predicted model, not a curated record.
UACUAGAAUUUGUGUAGGUUAGGAAUAAGACUGAGGAUGGAGUUGUACAGUUUUGUAGUGUGUAUCAUUUGUAAAUAUUGUUAACUUCUUUACCAUAACCAUGCUGAGGGAGGCGUUGACUAAAUUAGAGAUGGUGCUGGACCAACAAACCACUGAGCUUGCUUCAACUACAGGUGUUCCAGGUGCAGUCUUUGGAUACUGAUGAAGAUUUACUGCCCUGCAAGAUCUUCCUCAACUGCGUAGUCUGGAGCAAAGGAUGCAACAGAGCCCAGAUUGCAAGCAAAAACUGGGCAGAUGUGCUCGACUGCACCUGGCGCAUAUUGAAGAGGGUGAUUGCUAACUCCCUGGCAAAGAACCUCAAUUGGAGGGGAGUCAAUGGAAAGACUUCACUGGCCACUCUCCAACUUGGAGAGGUCAUGAUUGAAACCUCUUCACGGCUAAAGCUGCAGAGAUGGAGGUUGAGGGGACCAUGAAGAGGUGGCUCCAGCUGGCAUCAGAUUGAGAGUGCGGGCGCAAGAGAAGACUUUUGAAAACUUUUGCAAAAAGAAGGUAUUUAGAGUGUUUUAACUGUGGUGUCUUUGUUAAUUUGUUAAAAUGUUCAUAUUAUAGUCUAUUUUUGAUUGUUUAUAAAAGUCCUUGCUGUUUUUAAGUGGUUGAAAUUGUGUGUGUGUGUGUGUGUGUGUGUGUGUGUGUUGGUAGCUGGGUGGCUAUACAGUUGCGAUCGGAAGUUUACAUACCCCUUGCAGAAUCUACAAAAUCUUAAUACUCUUAACAAAAUAAGAUUGAUCAUAAAAAUCCUAAGUUUCUUAUUUAGUACCGCCAUGAAUAAGCUAUUUCACAUAACAGAUGUUUACAUAUAGUCCACAAGAUAAUAGCUGAAUUAAUCAAAAUUACCCCCAUUCAAAAGUUUACAC